CCUACGGGUGGCUGCAGUGGGGAAUAUUGGACAAUGGGGGCAACCCUGAUCCAGCCAUGCCGCGUGUGUGAAGAAGGCCCUCGGGUUGUAAAGCACUUUCAGUGAGGAAGAACGCCUGGUGGUUAAUACCCAUCAGGAAAGACAUCACUCACAGAAGAAGCACCGGCUAACUCCGUGCCAGCAGCCGCGGUAAUACGGAGGGUGCGAGCGUUAAUCGGAAUUACUGGGCGUAAAGCGCGCGUAGGUGGCUUGAUAAGCCGGUUGUGAAAGCCCCGGGCUCAACCUGGGAACGGCAUCCGGAACUGUCAAGCUAGAGUGCAGGAGAGGAAGGUAGAAUUCCCGGUGUAGCGGUGAAAUGCGUAGAGAUCGGGAGGAAUACCAGUGGCGAAGGCGGCCUUCUGGACUGACACUGACACUGAGGUGCGAAAGCGUGGGUAGCAAACAGGAUUAGAUACCCUAGUGUC
RNAcentral lists this ribosomal RNA (464 nucleotides) under Vreelandella stevensii. Its description in RNAcentral is "partial 16S ribosomal RNA". It matches the Rfam family "Bacterial small subunit ribosomal RNA", at positions 338 to 795 of the family's 1533-position model. Lineage: Bacteria; Pseudomonadati; Pseudomonadota; Gammaproteobacteria; Oceanospirillales; Halomonadaceae. The record is from RNAcentral.